UACGUAGGGCGCAAGCGUUGUCCGGAAUUAUUGGGCGUAAAGAGCUCGUAGGCGGUCUGUCGCGUCCGUUGUGAAAACUCGAGGCUCAACCUCGGGCUUGCAGUGGAUACGGGCAGACUAGAGCGCGGUAGGGGAGACUGGAAUUCCUGGUGUAGCGGUGGAAUGCGCAGAUAUCAGGAGGAACACCGAUGGCGAAGGCAGGUCUCUGGGCCGCAACUGACGCUGAGGAGCGAAAGCAUGGGGAGCGAACAGG
This 253-nucleotide ribosomal RNA is filed under the name uncultured bacterium. RNAcentral describes it as "partial 16S ribosomal RNA". It matches the Rfam family "Bacterial small subunit ribosomal RNA", at positions 524 to 776 of the family's 1533-position model. The record is from RNAcentral.